Molecule: ribosomal RNA, 526 nt
Filed under: Alnus hirsuta var. sibirica
Lineage: Eukaryota; Viridiplantae; Streptophyta; Magnoliopsida; Fagales; Betulaceae
Description: eukaryotic LSU rRNA
Rfam family: 5.8S ribosomal RNA (bases 140-295)
Source: RNAcentral
GGSAGGGAGRCACUCGUGCCUUCCUGCCGAACAACGUACCCCGGCGCGGUSUGCGCCAAGGAACAUGAACGAAAGAGUGCCUCCGGUCGCCUCGGAAACGCUGCGCGCACCGGAGGCGAAUCUUGUCUAGAACCAUAACGACUCUCGGCAACGGAUAUCUCGGCUCUCGCAUCGAUGAAGAACGUAGCGAAAUGCGAUACUUGGUGUGAAUUGCAGAAUCCCGCGAAUCAUCGAGUCUUUGAACGCAAGUUGCGCCCGAAGCCACCUGGCCGAGGGCACGUCUGCCUGGGUGUCACGCAUCGUUGCCCCCAACCCCAUCGCCCUGCAAAGAGGCGGUGGGGGCAUGCGGGGCGGACAUUGGCCUCCCGUGGGCUGAUGCCYGCGGCUGGCCUAAAAACGAGUCCUCGGCGACGAUCGCCACGACAAUCGGUGGUUGACAKACCCUCGUGACCCGUCGUGCGCGCAUCGCCGCUCAACGCGUGCUCUUUUGACCCUGUCGCGUCGCGCUCGCGACGCUUCCAACGCG